This 99-nucleotide small RNA is filed under the name Arabidopsis thaliana (thale cress). Its description in RNAcentral is "ATSL029920". Lineage: Eukaryota; Viridiplantae; Streptophyta; Magnoliopsida; Brassicales; Brassicaceae. The record is from RNAcentral.
UUAGUAUUAAAAAUAUUUUUUUCUAACAACAUUCUCAACAAUGCAUCAUACACAUAAUUCAUCAACGUAUUUGAAUUACUCCUGUUAAAUCAACAUUUU